UCUACACUUCUUCAGAUCUUCUUCUUCUUCUUCUUCUUCUUCUUUUUCUUCUUGGGCAAUGGCAGGAUGGUAAUUUCCUCCUGCAUCCAAAAUACACACCCAUUUUGCCAUUGGGCAAAUCGGGAGGGAAACCUCAAACCCUUGCCCUUGCGUUGGGCCUUGACCAUGGAGGUAGAUGCGGUCUAUCAUUCACAACACCUUCGCCAACCGAUGUAGAUGAAGGGGAGGAUUGAUUAAAGCUGGGAAGAUGAAGGAUUGGGACCGUGGUCUCCGGAGAAGGAGGAUGCUGUCUUGAGCCGUUUCGUCAGCAAAUUUGAUGCCAAGGGAUUGGUCCCUCAUCGAUACAAGCAUCCAUGGCCGCUCUGGCAAGUCCUGUUACUCAAACGCUAGCCCUUCCUUUGCUGAGAUCAGAGGAAGGGGAUUUUGUUUUGUUUGCAUUGGCAUCUUGAUCAUUUAUUUGAGUUACUUAACUCCAGCCUUUUGAGCGAAUUCAUUGAGGUCGAAUGAUUAAAUUGAUAACAAUGUGAUACUCUGGAAGGUGCUACAAUAAAGAAGACAACAGGAUCUUCUGAAGAGACAACAUCUUAUGGAGACGUCGGUUCUUUGAAAUUGGUUGAAAGGAAUAGUUGUUCUUAAUUUAAAAAAAAAAACAAUAUCGGAUCAUUUUUCUGACAAACUUCGUAUGCCAGUCAAAUCCUUUACACAUGGGGUAGAAUACCCACAUUACUUGUACCAGCCUCCUAUAAUUAUUCACUUGAAAAGUCAGGUACUUCUUUUGUGUCAAGAUCUGUUCCAGUGAUUGGGCAAAGAUUCCAACCAUCCAUAUUCAGCUGAGCAAAUUGCCAGGCUGUUUGCAAGCCAGGUGCCACUCUGAUGUGGCUAUUGUUGCUGUGAAACUCCAAAGGAAAGCGCAUUGUAAAAAUAUUUAUUGGGGCCUCAGUUUCUUGAGUUUGUAAAUUCACAACCUAUUUCAAGCCAUGAAUUUCCUCAAUUGCCACAGACUUGAGCAGCAUUGCUUGGUAAAAAAAAAAAAGCGGCUUGCAGAGUCUGUGAACAGAGAGUGCAAAUUGCUUUCUCACUGAUGACAAGGUAGUUGACAUAAACAAGCUGUUUGAGUAAAAAUUGAUGAUUUGAGUGAGUCUUCCGUUACAUCACAAAGCAGGUGGAUUUGAACUUGUGAUCAUGGUGGUGACUGUUACUUUUUCUUUGUUCAGAGAGAGCUAUGGUACAUGGCAGAAAUGAUUUGCAGAAAUUUGAAGGUGAAUUCUGCAUGGUGUCAUUUGAAAACAGGGACGAAAUAGCUGCAUUUUAACACAAGUUCACGUGAGGCAGGUGGGUAUUGCAUUCUAUAUCUAUUAAUGAGAAAUGUGUACAUACCACUACUACUACGAUCGGAACCAGUCGUCCAGACUCCAGAAUAUGCCCAGAAAAGAGAUCCAGCCAGGUACCUCUGUUAUUCUGACGUGAUUAUUUCCUUGUCAUGCUCCACCAUAUCCACCAUAUCAUGUGGAAAUUUUCAAUCUCACUGAACUUAGCUUUGUUGUUAUUUGUGUUCUCAGACCGGGACUAGGAAAAUAUUAGUCCUUUUCUGUAGUAGCCUUGAGUUGAUUUGCAUUGGCUGCUGUCUUCAACUUUUUAUGCCAUUAGAAUCCACCACCAAGGUGUGAUUUUCUCCCUUGCUGUGAGUUUGUGGUCCUGCCAUUCAAGUUGUGUUGGUUCAGCUGGACCAGAUAGUGUUCUCAUUUGUUGGAAUGCCUAUAGCUGAUGGUAAUAUCGUACAUUUGUUUGUGGCCGAGAGAGUGAUGUGAUAGAUACAACACGGAAAAUGGUUUCCUCUUUCACUUGAUAUCUUCUAUGCACGUUCUUAAAUUCCACUUUGUUCAAGGUAAAUGAAGCGCAUGGUUCAUGGUCAGUGCCUUCUCAUUCCUCAUCAUUCUGCCCGCCCAUACGCCCAAAUAAAUCAUCUCUUGGGCCCCUAUCUCAUCAAGCUCCUUUUGCUUGACAUACAAGC
Molecule: long non-coding RNA, 2011 nt
Organism: Dioscorea cayenensis subsp. rotundata (Guinea yam)
Lineage: Eukaryota; Viridiplantae; Streptophyta; Magnoliopsida; Dioscoreales; Dioscoreaceae
Exons: 4
Source: RefSeq, a predicted model, not a curated record